Molecule: long non-coding RNA, 318 nt
Filed under: Musa acuminata (dwarf banana)
Lineage: Eukaryota; Viridiplantae; Streptophyta; Magnoliopsida; Zingiberales; Musaceae
Description: long non-coding RNA (MACU_LNC004867)
Source: RNAcentral
CAGAGUCUCAGCCUAGUGGCUAUUACAAUCCAUCACAACCUUCGAUCCCACCUCCUACUUCCAAUGCCGAUCCCCCUUCGCUGCCUCCACCGCCGCCACCUGCUUCUCAACCACCGAGUGCUCCAGUUGAUGCCUAUACUCCACCACCUGAACCAUUGUCACCUCCGCCACCGCCGGCCUCCUCUCCUCCGCCUCCGCCACAAACUCCGGAGUUGUAUCCGCCUCCCCCUUCUGCUGCCCCUCCUGCAGUUACGCCUCCGCCGCCAUUGUCACCUCCACCAGCCGCUAUCCCUCCUAUGUCACCGAUCUAUUACCAAU